Molecule: ribosomal RNA, 462 nt
Filed under: uncultured bacterium
Lineage: Bacteria
Description: SSU rRNA
Rfam family: Bacterial small subunit ribosomal RNA
Source: RNAcentral
AGAACGAACGCUGGCGGCAUGCCUAACACAUGCAAGUCGAACGCUCUUGAGGCUUCGGUUUCAAGGGAGUGGCGCACGGGUGAGUAGCGCGUGGGAACCUGCCCUGUUGUGGGGGAUAACCGAGGGAAACUUCGGCUAAUACCGCAUGCGCCCGGGGAAACCCGGGGAAAGAUUUAUCGCAGCAGGAGGGGCCCGCGUCGGAUUAGGUAGUUGGUAGGGUAACGGCCUACCAAGCCUUUGAUCCGUAGCUGGUCUGAGAGGAUGAUCAGCCACACUGGGACUGAGACACGGCCCAGACUCCUACGGGAGGCAGCAGUGGGGAAUAUUGGACAAUGGGCGCAAGCCUGAUCCAGCAAUGCCGCGUGAGUGAUGAAGGCCUUAGGGUUGUAAAGCUCUUUCGCCCGCGACGAUGAUGACGGUAGCGGGAGAAGAAGCCCCGGCUAACUUCGUGCCAGCAGCCGC